Molecule: long non-coding RNA, 292 nt
Filed under: Monodelphis domestica (gray short-tailed opossum)
Lineage: Eukaryota; Metazoa; Chordata; Mammalia; Didelphimorphia; Didelphidae
Description: lncRNA (ENSMODG00000046575.1)
Source: RNAcentral
UCCUCUCUAGCGCCCCAAACCUUUUACUCCUCCCAGUCCCCAAGAAUGAACUGCAAACUGUAUUAAACUGAGGGAGGUGGCGGGCGAGAGGAAAGAAGUAGCCUUUUAUUCCAAACUCCAGGGAUACCGAGUCUGAGCUUCCCUACGGAAAGCCAGCCCUCCAUGGAGGCGCAUGCGUCCUGAGGCCGCCGCUGGGGGCAGCGACACAAGCUGAGACUGAAGAGGAAAAGCUAUUUUGCAUGCAAAGUUACACAGUGCUCCGUUUUGCAGAUGCCCUCGGUGCUUGCUCGUC